This 485-nucleotide ribosomal RNA is filed under the name Streptococcus infantis. RNAcentral's name for it is "bacterial SSU rRNA". It matches the Rfam family "Bacterial small subunit ribosomal RNA", at positions 28 to 499 of the family's 1533-position model. The record is from RNAcentral. Lineage: Bacteria; Bacillati; Bacillota; Bacilli; Lactobacillales; Streptococcaceae.
GACGAACGCUGGCGGCGUGCCUAAUACAUGCAAGUAGAACGCUGAAGGAGGAGCUUGCUUCUCUGGAUGAGUUGCGAACGGGUGAGUAACGCGUAGGUAACCUGCCUGGUAGCGGGGGAUAACUAUUGGAAACGAUAGCUAAUACCGCAUAACAGUAGAUAUCGCAUGAUAGCUGCUUGAAAGGUGCAAUUGCACCACUACCAGAUGGACCUGCGUUGUAUUAGCUAGUUGGUGGGGUAACGGCUCACCAAGGCAACGAUACAUAGCCGACCUGAGAGGGUGAUCGGCCACACUGGGACUGAGACACGGCCCAGACUCCUACGGGAGGCAGCAGUAGGGAAUCUUCGGCAAUGGACGGAAGUCUGACCGAGCAACGCCGCGUGAGUGAAGAAGGUUUUCGGAUCGUAAAGCUCUGUUGUAAGAGAAGAACGAGUGUGAGAGUGGAAAGUUCACACUGUGACGUAUCUACCAGAAAGGACGCAUUC